UACGUAGGGACCAAGCGUUGUUCGGAUUUACUGGGCGUAAAGGGCGCGUAGGCGGCGUGGUAAGUCAGCUGUGAAAUCUCCGAGCUUAACUCGGAACGGUCAGCUGAUACUGCUGUGCUAGAGUGCAGAAAGGGCAAUCGGAAUUCUUGGUGUAGCGGUGAAAUGCGUAGAUAUCAAGAGGAACACCUGAGGCGAAGGCGGGUUGCUAGGCUGACACUGACGCUGAGGCGCGAAAGCUAGGGUAGCAAACGGG
RNAcentral lists this ribosomal RNA (253 nucleotides) under uncultured bacterium. RNAcentral describes it as "partial 16S ribosomal RNA". It matches the Rfam family "Bacterial small subunit ribosomal RNA", at positions 524 to 776 of the family's 1533-position model. The record is from RNAcentral.